UACGUAGGUGGCGAGCGUUAUCCGGAAUGAUUGGGCGUAAAGGGUGCGUAGGCGGGCUGUUAAGUCAGCGGUGAAAUGCCCCCGCUCAACGGGGUGAAGUGCCAUUGAUACUGCCUUGCUGGAAUGCGGAUGCCGUGGGAGGAAUGUGUGGUGUAGCGGUGAAAUGCAUAGAUAUCACACAGAACACCGAUUGCGAAGGCAUCUCACGAAUCCGCGAUUGACGCUGAUGCACGAAAGCGUGGGUAUCAAACAGG
RNAcentral lists this ribosomal RNA (254 nucleotides) under uncultured Bacteroidales bacterium. RNAcentral's name for it is "partial 16S ribosomal RNA". It matches the Rfam family "Bacterial small subunit ribosomal RNA", at positions 524 to 776 of the family's 1533-position model. Lineage: Bacteria; Pseudomonadati; Bacteroidota; Bacteroidia; Bacteroidales. The record is from RNAcentral.